AUUGAACGCUGGCGGAAUGCUUUACACAUGCAAGUCGAACGGUAGAGGGGGCAACCCCUCGAGAGUGGCGAACGGGUGAGUAAUAUAUCGGAACGUGCCCAGUCGUGGGGGAUAACGUAGCGAAAGUUACGCUAAUACCGCAUACGAUCUACGGAUGAAAGCGGGGGAUCGCAAGACCUCGCGCGAUUGGAGCGGCCGAUAUCAGAUUAGGUAGUUGGUGGGGUAAAGGCUCACCAAGCCAACGAUCUGUAGCUGGUCUGAGAGGACGACCAGCCACACUGGAACUGAGACACGGUCCAGACCCCUACGGGAGGCAGCAGUGGGGAAUUUUGGACAAUGGACGCAAGUCUGAUCCAGCCAUUCCGCGUGCAGGAUGAAGGCCCUCGGGUUGUAAACUGCUUUUGUACGGAACGAAAAGGUUUCCAUUAAUACUGGGAGCUCAUGACGGUACCGUAAGAAUAAGCACCGGCUAACUACGUGCCAGCAGCCGCCGUAA
This 496-nucleotide ribosomal RNA is filed under the name uncultured bacterium. RNAcentral describes it as "partial 16S ribosomal RNA". It matches the Rfam family "Bacterial small subunit ribosomal RNA", at positions 30 to 523 of the family's 1533-position model. The record is from RNAcentral.